Molecule: long non-coding RNA, 616 nt
Organism: Sander lucioperca (pikeperch)
Lineage: Eukaryota; Metazoa; Chordata; Actinopteri; Perciformes; Percidae
Exons: 3
Source: RefSeq, a predicted model, not a curated record
GACGUACAACACAAGGAGCCAAUCAACAGACGAGGCACAGCUGGAAUAAGAAGACAAAUACUGAUUGGGUAACGAGACGACACAAAGACAGGCUGACGAGGCUCGACACCAAACAGGUGGACAAGGGAAGACAUGCAGGGCGGGGCUACAGAAGGGACACACCGGGCCGGCACAGACAACUGAAACCCAAUGAAUACAACAAGGAACAUGAAACACAAAACAAAAGCCCACAUCCUCUGGAGACUUCAUUCUCUCACUCUCAUCAUCUUCAGGUUGGAAAGCUAUUCACUUAGUUUUUGCCAAAACAGACUAACAAUUGUCAAAAUAAUCUUGAUUUAUGGUCUACUCACAACCGUUUUCCAGAGCUUUCAGCCAUGUCUUGGUCUUCUUUUGAGAAGGACUUGUCUCAGCGUGAAGUCGUCCUUGCUCCUGGAUGGAAAACUCCCAAACUGGGCCGGCCUUUUGACUCUUAGCUCACUAUAUUUUCAAUUUGUUAUGAUUUUUAUGUCGCCUAAAUACUUUUGCAUAUCAUUUUCAGAGUUGAUAGUGGAUGUAAGAAGGAAAACAUCAUAAACCAUUUUUUUGUAAGUCAUCAUUAAAUGGCCCAGUAUUGAUU